This 243-nucleotide long non-coding RNA is filed under the name Mytilus galloprovincialis (Mediterranean mussel). Lineage: Eukaryota; Metazoa; Mollusca; Bivalvia; Mytilida; Mytilidae. The record is from RNAcentral.
GAAAUAUUGAUUGAAAAAAGUGUACGCACUUGUCGACCAUUCGUAUAUACGCCUGGAUAAUAAGUUACGGAACUAUAGCGCAAAUUCAAAUAUAUACAUGUAUACAUUGUACAUAAGAAAGAAACAUACAUUUUGUGUAAAUUGGGGUAAAAGUUUUUUUAAUAGACUAGUCCACGUAUGCCAACAGUAUGUAAUCAUCAAAUGUCGAAAGACUAUUGUAUACCAAAAGAAGAAGAAGAAGAA